RNAcentral lists this ribosomal RNA (255 nucleotides) under Platocoelotes latus. Its description in RNAcentral is "partial 12S ribosomal RNA". Lineage: Eukaryota; Metazoa; Arthropoda; Arachnida; Araneae; Agelenidae. The record is from RNAcentral.
AUCGAAUAUCCACGUUAANUUUUACUUUAUUUAAAAACUUAUAUACCGCCAUCUUAAGAUUAAAUUUUAAAAUACUUUCAAAAAAAAAUAUUAAAAAGUUAGGUCAAGGUGUAAUUCACAUUAAAGAAUUAGAUAAAUUACAUUAAAUAUAAUUUAAAGAUUAUAAAUAAACAUAAUUAUAUAAAUUAGGAUUUGAAAGUAUUAUUAAAAUAAUAAUAUAAUAUGACAUAGAUAAUAAAUGUGUACACAUCGCCC